GGCAUGUUGCCAGAGUGGUUAAUGGGUGAGACUUGAAUUCAUUUCGAAUUAAGCCAUCUCAUGACUUCGGUCGCGUAGGUUCAAAUCCUGCACAUGUCG
Molecule: transfer RNA, 99 nt
Filed under: Xylaria longipes
Lineage: Eukaryota; Fungi; Ascomycota; Sordariomycetes; Xylariales; Xylariaceae
Description: tRNA-Ser
Rfam family: tRNA
About the family: Transfer RNA (tRNA) molecules are approximately 80 nucleotides in length. Their secondary structure includes four short double-helical elements and three loops (D, anti-codon, and T loops). Further hydrogen bonds mediate the characteristic L-shaped molecular structure. tRNAs have two regions of fundamental functional importance: the anti-codon, which is responsible for specific mRNA codon recognition, and the 3' end, to which the tRNAs corresponding amino acid is attached (by aminoacyl-tRNA synthetases). tRNAs cope with the degeneracy of the genetic code in two manners: having more than one tRNA (with a specific anti-codon) for a particular amino acid; and 'wobble' base-pairing, i.e. permitting non-standard base-pairing at the 3rd anti-codon position.
Source: RNAcentral